RNAcentral lists this long non-coding RNA (298 nucleotides) under Homo sapiens (human). RNAcentral's name for it is "HSALNT0394918". Lineage: Eukaryota; Metazoa; Chordata; Mammalia; Primates; Hominidae. The record is from RNAcentral.
CUUCAGGCUAAGCAGAGGCGUCCAAGGAAACCAGCCCAGCCGGUGCCUUUAUCUCCAACUGCCAGCCUCCAGAAUGGGAUGAAAAAUUUACUGAAGUAUUUUAUGUUGAUGGAUGUGUUCACGGAGAGAAGGAAAAUUUGAUACAGCAGCACAGAUAAGUAAUGUCACUGGAGACAGAAUUGGAAAGGAACAUACUGCAUCCUGCAGUGGCACACCACCAGAAUUAUUGGCAUGUACAAGAUGGAAGGCUCAAUAUAUUCAUCCUUCACUGAACGAUUCAGCACCAUGUUGCUUUAAG